GAACUGAAGAGUUUGAUCAUGGCUCAGAUUGAACGCUGGCGGCAGGCCUAACACAUGCAAGUCGAGCGGAUGAAGGGAGCUUGCUCCUGGAUUCAGCGGCGGACGGGUGAGUAAUGCCUAGGAAUCUGCCUGGUAGUGGGGGAUAACGUCCGGAA
This 155-nucleotide ribosomal RNA is filed under the name Pseudomonas aeruginosa. Its description in RNAcentral is "partial 16S ribosomal RNA". It matches the Rfam family "Bacterial small subunit ribosomal RNA", at positions 1 to 155 of the family's 1533-position model. The record is from RNAcentral. Lineage: Bacteria; Pseudomonadati; Pseudomonadota; Gammaproteobacteria; Pseudomonadales; Pseudomonadaceae.